GGUUCGAUUCUGGCUCCAGAUUGAACGCUGGCGGGAUGCUUUACACAUGCAAGUCGAACGGCAGCACGGACUUCGGUCUGGUGGCGAGUGGCGAACGGGUGAGUAAUGUAUCGGAACGUGCCUAGUAGCGGGGGAUAACUACGCGAAAGCGUAGCUAAUACCACAUACGCCCUUCGAAAGCGGGGACCUUCGGGCCUCGCAUAUUAGAGCGGCCGAUAUCGGAUUAGCUAGUUGGUGGGAGUAACGGCUCACCAAGGCGACGAUCCGUAGCUGGUUUUGAGAGGACGACCAGCCACACUGGGACUGAGACACGGCCCAGACCGAAGUCCGUGCUGCCACGUUCGACUUGUAAAAAACAUCCCGCCAGCGUUCAAUCUGAGCCAGAAUCGAACC
Molecule: unclassified non-coding RNA, 393 nt
Filed under: uncultured Bordetella sp.
Lineage: Bacteria; Pseudomonadati; Pseudomonadota; Betaproteobacteria; Burkholderiales; Alcaligenaceae
Description: partial 16S-23S ribosomal RNA intergenic spacer
Rfam family: Bacterial small subunit ribosomal RNA
Source: RNAcentral